Molecule: ribosomal RNA, 252 nt
Filed under: uncultured bacterium
Lineage: Bacteria
Description: partial 16S ribosomal RNA
Rfam family: Bacterial small subunit ribosomal RNA
Source: RNAcentral
UACGUAGGUGGCAAGCGUUGUCCGGAAUUAUUGGGCGUAAAGCGCGCGCAGGCGGUUAUGUAAGUCUGAUGUUAAAGCCCGGGGCUCAACCUCGGUUCGCAUUGGAAACUGCGUAACUUGAGUGCAGAAGAGGAAAGUGGUAUUCCACGUGUAGCGGUGAAAUGCGUAGAUAUGUGGAGGAACACCAGUGGCGAAGGCGACUUUCUGGUCUGUAACUGACGCUGAGGCGCGAAAGCAAGGGGAUCAAACAGG